Long non-coding RNA from Cervus elaphus (red deer), 271 nucleotides. RefSeq lists it as uncharacterized. Lineage: Eukaryota; Metazoa; Chordata; Mammalia; Artiodactyla; Cervidae. The transcript is spliced from 3 exons. The record is from RefSeq and is a predicted model, not a curated record.
GCUGGAGAGUUCACGUCUUGCGGGGAUAGUAAGAGAUAUGAAGGCACUUACCAGUUCUGAAAACACCUUGCCUUGGUUGUCUAACAGUUUUUCCACCAGACUGCGGUUUGCUUUCAGUGAAAAUUGCUCCGUAUACAGAUGUAUUUUUGAAGUGUUCAUGGCAGGAGGUAUCUCCUGUCCAUUGAUACUUCCAUUUUGAAAAGGACUGAUGUUGAAGCUGAAACUCCAAUCCUUUGGCCACCUGAUGUGAAGAGCUGACUCACUGGAAAAG